UGCCAGACUCCUACGGGAGGCAGCAGUGGGGAAUAUUGCACAAUGGGGGAAACCCUGAUGCAGCGACGCCGCGUGAGUGAAGAAGUAUUUCGGUAUGUAAAGCUCUAUCAGCAGGGAAGAAAUAGCGACCUUUGGGUCGCCAGACGGUACCUGACUAAGAAGCCCCGGCUAACUACGUGCCAGCAGCCGCGGUAAUACGUAGGGGGCAAGCGUUAUCCGGAUUUACUGGGUGUAAAGGGAGCGUAGGCGGCAGGGCAAGCCUGAUGUGAAAGCCCGGGGCUCAACCCCGGGACUGCAUUGGGAACUGCCCCGCUCGAGUGCCGGAGGGGCAGGCGGAAUUCCUAGUGUAGCGGUGAAAUGCGUAGAUAUUAGGAGGAACACCAGUGGCGAAGGCGGCCUGCUGGACGGUGUACUGACGCUGAGGCUCGAAAGCGUGGGGAGCAAACAGGAUUAGAUACCCGCGUACA
RNAcentral lists this ribosomal RNA (467 nucleotides) under uncultured bacterium. Its description in RNAcentral is "bacterial SSU rRNA". It matches the Rfam family "Bacterial small subunit ribosomal RNA", at positions 329 to 797 of the family's 1533-position model. The record is from RNAcentral.